CUAUUGACUUUUAAACAUGAAAUAUUUAUUAAUAUUUACUAAACAGUAAGGCAGAAGCAAUAAGAAUCAUAACAUUUACUCGAUAUAAGGUAACAUAGGAAUAAUCAAAGCAUCACAGUCCAUUAUAAACACAGAGUGUCUUGUGGGAGGGAGAUAGUGGCCAUACAUUAAUAGAAAUCUAUUAGGCAGGUAUAAGUGAGGAACAUCUAUUUGGAAUAUCUUACAAUUUUAACUGCAAAUCUUGGUGUCCUUGGUUCAUUUAGUAACAAUCUAUACCACAUAAGGCUGAAUUUUAUAUUGACAGCUGUCCUUAUGGGUCUCAUUUCCUUCUUAUAGGAAAUCACUUUCUUCUGUUUUCUAGUAAAGAAGUAAUAGUUUUUCUUUCACCCUUAACAAUACACUGAGAAACUUUUUUCUUUAAAACAAUUUCAUGUAUGUAUGUGUUCAGUCUCUCAUCUACCACCCACCCAUCCACCUUUCCAUCUAUAUUUCUAUCUAUCUUCAUCUUUCCAUCUCUAUCUAACCAGUAUUUUGCUGGAUAGAUUUUAUUUUAAAUAGAAUAGAUCUAUUUAGCUAUCAGUCCAUAAAUCUAUGCAUUCAUAUUUCUAGCAUCUAUCUCAGUUUUCUAUCUAGCAUCUAUAAUCUAUCAUCUACCUAUCCAUCCACAUUUGUAUUUAUUAUCUACAUAUCUUCACCUCUUCCAUUAUACAUCUCCAGUUUUCCAUAUUCACCUAUCUAGAAUCUAUCUAUACAUCUGACUUACAGUCCAUAUAUCUAUCAUGUAUCUAUCAUCUACCCAUGUAUUUCUAUAUCUAUCUUUCUACUUACCUAUUUAUCUAUCUACCCAUCCAUCCAUCUAUCUAUUCAUCCAAACAUUCUCCUUAUUCAUUACAAGCAGGUUUCCUCAGUUUGGCUCUCUGGGAAAUGCAGAGCAGAUGACUUAGCUUAUGCUUUUUUUUUUUUUUUUUUUUUGAGACAUCUUUAAGCUAAACCAAGCCCAUCCUCUGGUAAUAAGAUCACAGCAAUGUAGAGGCAAAGCUUAUCUUACCCUGUCUAUUCAUUCUCCUACCCCCACUCCCACCCCAACCUUGCUCCCAAACUAUGGUGGCAAUAGGAGGUCAACCAGGCACUUUUUUGAGAAUUUCCCUUUCUCUCAGGCUGUAGAUGGCACUAGAUAGCCUAUUUUGUAUAAAAUCUAGAAACUAUAGAGCUUUCUUAGCUGAUCAAACCUUUCUUCAGCCAAUCAUUGUAAAGUGAUGACUUCCCCUAUCCCAAUCAGCAAGUUCCUAGCAAGAGAAAACAUUCUUUCCUAGCCUUGUGUAUAUUUUGUCAGUAGCUUCUUACAACCCCUCUGUUAAGCUUAUUCUAUUAAUUAUCUUGCUUUUCUUUUAAUUUUUGCCUCAUAUCUUUUAAUGUAUUAAAUCAGAGUUCUCUGGUGGUUAAUGAUUUAUAUUUGCCACAUAAGGUAAAGCUCAAGAAAUUUAACUUUUGGUUACUGAAGAACCCCAAAAUCUUUAUACAAUCUCUGUUAUUUGAUAGUUUCAAAAUUGUAAACUAUAAAAUUCUAAAAAACAACAAAAACAGAAACAUGCAGAUGAUUUCAUGAGCCAUAAUGCCCUACAACUGUUGAUCUCCUCGAUUGAAUUUCAAACAGGUCCUUUCAGUACAUUUUUUCUGAGGGAAAAUUCUCUAUCAGGUCUUCAGAGGUCCAUUUCUCUUCCAUUUUUUAGGAAAUAUUUUUCUUCAAUACUAUUUCUUCACAUUUUGAGUUUUAAAAGUUUUACUUAUAUAAAUGUUAUUUUAUUGUCCCCUUUCAGCAACCUAAUGGUUCACAUAAAGACAAUAUCUUGAAAUCAUAGGAUUGUAAACUUAGUUAGGUGGUAUGGUGAAUGGAGAAUGUGCCCUGGACCUUAUAAAAGUCUGAGUUAAAACCUAUCUUCAGAUACUUACUCGCUAGGAGACCUUGAACAAGUCACAUUACCUCUCUUUACACCCAUAAAAUGGGGAUAACAACACCUUCCUCUCCGGAUGGUAAAACUGAGUUAUUUGUCAAGUGCUUUGAAAAUUGUAAACACUAUAAAUUCUAGUUAUUAUUAUUAUUACCGGAAGGAACCCUAGAGGUCCACUAGUGAAAUCUUCUCAUUUUAAACAUAAGGAAACAAAUCCAAGGUAAAAUUGGUUCUCUUUGGGGUAUGUGAUUAAAGGAUAGAGAAAUAGUUAAGAGAUGUGAGGGUCAAAAUGGUAAAAUAGCCUUUAUGAGAGGAUUGAUAAAAAGAGGUGUCCCUCUGCUACCUACUACCAGUAUAAAAGUCACAACCACUUUGCUACUCAUUUUCCUUAUUUGUUAAGUGAGGUUGAACUAGAUAUUCUCCGAUUGUAAUUAUUUGUUAAUAUGAAGACUCAUUUCCCUGACCUGCUAUGGGAAAAAUGCUUUGCAAAGUUUUAAUUGCUAUAUUAUAGUUGUCAGUGAUAGUUGAUGCUGCUGUUCUACUACUAUUACUACUUUACUAUUAGUUAUUUCUACUCCUACUUUUACUAUUUCUAUUCCUAUUAUUACUACUAUUAUUAGUACUUCCCUUACUGCUAUUCCUACUACUAUUGCUACAAUUAUUACUAUUACUACCACUACCAUCACUACUACUGCUACUACUACUAAUUAUAGGUUCCCUAUUACUUUAGAAUUCCCCAGGUUCAGUGAAGGAUGCUUUGGGACCCAGUCACAGUUAUGCAAAUAUAGAUCAACUCCACAUGCAAUUAAUUCUCUACUAACAGACCAGAAAAGCUUUUGAUUGGGGUAGAAUAGAGAGGUAAAUGACGUAAGAAAGCUCCUUCAUCCACAAACUUCCACAGAUUCACAUGUUGCCUUCUGAGGAGUCUUUCCUAGAAAAUCUAUCUUACUAUGGUAACAUAAUAGCAUCAUGUUCCCGAUUGAUCGGAUGUCUUCUCGAGACUUCAUCUCCCCACACGACGGACCUUACUGCCGCUGCUCCAUCUGAGUCUGCAGUUUCCCCUACCUCUAAAGCUCUUCUGAAAAGCUACUGUUGUUGUUUCCUGGAGUUGCGAUCUACAUGUUAAUUUCCAUUAAGUACUUGUCAUUUUAGAGGUCGCUUGUUGGGUUUCUCCUUCAAAGGGAGUGCUGUUGCUCUUUUUUUCCCCUCCAUCACCAGCAUCCCCUUUAAUAAAACAGACAAACUAGCGGGUGACAGGGAGGGGAAAGGGGAUGGGAAUAUCGCCAUUUACAACCACAAAAAACCAAUUUGCACGUGGCUAACACCUGUUAGCGGGGGAGCGGGGAGGGAGGGGCAGGGCUGCCCCAGCGCCGGUGGGCAGCAGCGGCGGAGCCCAGGACCCCGCCGCAUCUAUUUGUAAAGGAUGUCGUAGUGUCCGGGUCUGUACAGAAGGUACACCUUGGUCUCGGAGCCCUCAGAGAAGACGUGGGUGUUGGUGGUGCCGCCCUCACCGCGGUCCAUGUACUCCACCUGGAUGGAGAUGCUGAGGGCCUGCGCCAGCGCCAUGAUGUGGAUGUGGUCACUCUCCUUGCACAUGGGCUCCACCUCCUGCUGACAAAACUCCUUGACCGUCUGUCCCCCCUCGAUGAAAUGCUCGAAGAACUUGCUCUCACGCUGCAGGUGGCCUGAGGUGAGCAGCCGCAGGUAAACCACCAGGUAGUCGGAGGUGCUCUGGUCAUUGAAGGAGGCCAGCAGUUCCGUUGCUGAGGUUCCCCUCUCCACCUGUUCGAUCAGGUCCAUGAAUGUGUUGUGGAAAUCUUCAAUUGUGAACUCGGCGAAGCCCUGGGCCACCAGGUCGUCCUUGCUCUUGGCGGAGACGGCUUUGAGCCUCUGCAGCUCCUUCUUGUCCUCCAGAAGGGCCUCCAGGUGGGAGAAGCCGAAAGCCCGGUAGAAGCAGUUGCCAUCGGGCCUGGUCUUUCGGAUGUAGGAGUACUUUUUGUGUAGGUCCUUGAUCUUCUGUUGGUAGAUGUUGUCAUCUUCGGCGUACUCCUUGUAAAGCACGGAGAGCUCCAGGCGCUCGGACACCAGGGGAUUUUGAACAGCAAUCUCUUGCUGAAUUCGGUCCUGCUGGGCCAUGAUGGCUUCAUCGUAGGCCAAACUGUUAAUUCCUUCAGAGUCACUUUCCAAUGGCUCCGGAUUCUGCUGAUGAGGUUCCUCCGCCGCCAUCUUUAAACAGCAUAUGGACUGCCUCGCCAACGAGCGUGCAACUGCGCAAUCAGCUCUGGUGUCAGUUCCAUAGUCACGGCGGGGGUGGCCCACAAAAAGCUCUUUUUCCCAACCUACUCACUAGCUUCCCAGAACAAAGUUUCAGAUACAGACAGUGAUCUCCAGUGCUCUUUGAUCCAGGGUAACUUGAAGCCAGCAUAGCAGGUAGAAGGGGAUUGCCAGCCAGCCCGACAGGACAACCCCCAAAGUCAAAGUAUCCAGGAUCCAAAUCCAAGGAGGGAUUGGAAGUGAGAACAACCUGAAACAGAAGACAAAUACCUCAGCACAUUUCACCAAGUGAGGGUAAAAAAGACGGAGACCACUAGAAAGUUGUCAAAGAUCAGCGACAAGACAAGUCAAGGUGGCUGGUGAUGACCUAGGAUUUGGUGGAUGACCUUGGUGUUUUUGACCAAGCUCUCAGUGCCCUACAAUAACUCCGAGGUGUUCAGAGGGACUAGCAGCUCUGGUGUGAGGGCGUGUUGAGUCCUUUUGGGGCUGGUCGUCCACCUUUGAGGUUUGCCUGUUACCUAACGGUCCUUGGACUCCAAGAAGUUUUACUAUGGCCAGUGGCCAGUGGCCAGCCCUUGGUACAACCAGGUGGAGGCUACCACAAGCCUCAGACCCACUGGUGAGUUAUGGGAACAUCUAUCCUACGUGAAGAUGCCUUCUGGAGAGCAGGCAAAUGAGAACCACUUGUUUUAGCAGCCGUGAAUAAUAGCAAUAUACUUACAACCUCAAUGAAUUAACAAUAUCCUCAGCAGCACCCAAUGCCUGACUGCCAUUCUCUGCAGGCCUGCUCCUCCUGGGCCCUUCUGGAACCAAUUUUUCUGUGUGUCCACCAUGAAAAGCCCCCAACACACUGAAGUUAUUCUUCUAAAUUGCUCCUAUCAGUGAAAUGAUCAUCAAAUGUUUGAGAAUAUUAACUCUGCUUAAACUUCACCAGAUCUCUCUUACCUCUAGACUCUCAAAGGGAUCUUAGGGAUCAUCUUGGCCCCAUCCCUUGUUGUAUAGAUUUGGAAUCUGGGGCCACAAGAGCUUAAGUGACUUGUGAGAAUCACAAACACGGUAAGUGAAUGAGUACCAGAGGAGGGAACUGAGCCCAGGUCUUCUCAUUUUAAAUUCAGCCUAAAUUUCCACCCUACCUGGUCAAACAUAUACUCAUGUUUUUCCCUUUUGGACUCUGUUCAUAUUAUUUAUGUACAUACAAUAUAUGGACCUUGAUAUUUAUAUGUUUUCUCUCCAUUAAAAUAAAUUCUUCUGGGAAGCAGAGAUUGUCUUGUUUUUGUUGGUUUUUCUUUGGAUCCCC
Long non-coding RNA from Sarcophilus harrisii (Tasmanian devil), 5520 nucleotides. Lineage: Eukaryota; Metazoa; Chordata; Mammalia; Dasyuromorphia; Dasyuridae. The record is from Ensembl.